RNA transcript from Gopherus flavomarginatus (Mexican gopher tortoise), 1815 nucleotides. It is a transcript of the gene named mevalonate kinase, with no coding region annotated. The record is from RefSeq and is a predicted model, not a curated record. NCBI's taxonomy places the organism in Eukaryota, Metazoa, Chordata, Testudines, Testudinidae. The transcript has 12 exons.
UCCUGGGGCAGCAAUACCGCCUGGGGGGUGGUUACUAGUGUCAGGUGCGGGGCAGGAGCGCGGGGCUGGUGCGGCCGGGAGCUCGGUCCCUGGGGAAGCCGUGGAAAUGUUGGCCAAGCCCCUGACGCUGUCUGCACCAGGGAAGGCCAUUCUCCAUGGGGAGCACGCUGUCGUGUAUGGCAAGGCAGCUUUGGCCGUGGCUCUGAACCUGAGAACGUUCCUUCAAAUUAAACCCAGUAAUAAUGGAAAGGUCUUAAUAUGCUUGCCUAAUAUCGGAACCAGUGCAAACUGGGAAACCUUCCAGCUCCGAACACUGCUAACACUAUUUUCAGAUGGCUUGGAUGAAUCUAAAUCCCCCAGUCCAGAACAAAUGGAUGCACUGAAAGAGUUUGCAGGAAUCACUACUGAACUUUCAGCCACUGAGAGCCUUGGUACCCUUGCAUUUCUCUAUCUGUACCUGUCUAUUUCAGCUAAAUAUGGACAGAUACCAAGUGUGGAGAUAGUGGCCUGGUCUGAGCUGCCCACAGGAACUGGGCUAGGCUCAAGUGCUGCCUAUUGUGUUUGUUUGGCAGCUGCCCUGUUGACUGCAUGCGGAGCCAUUGGCUGCCCAGUGGAGGCGGAGAAGUCCGUAGUCAGGUGGCCUGAGGAGGAGACAGAUUUAAUUAACAGAUGGGCCUUUCGGGGAGAGCAGGUCAUCCAUGGCAAACCUUCUGGUGUGGAUAACUCUGUAGCGACUUGGGGUGGAGUGCUCCGAUUUCAGUCAGGAAAAUUCACAUCAUUAAAGAGAGUGCCGUCUCUAAGGAUCUUAUUGACCAACACAAAAGUCUCUCGGAGCACCAAGAUCCUUGUGGCAAGCGUCAAAGACAAGAUUCUUAAGUUUCCUGCUAUAAUGAACCCAGUGCUUGCCUCGAUAGAUGCAAUUUCUCAUGAGUGUGAAAGUGUUCUAGAAGCAAUGGCUGUGAGUCCAUCACAGGAGUAUUACCCUGUGCUAGAGGAGCUCUUUGACGUAAAUCAGCAUCACUUAAAUGUGAUUGGAGCUGGCCAUUCCUCACUGGACAAUGUGUGCCGAGUGACCGCCACACAUGGGCUGCACAGUAAGCUGACUGGUGCUGGAGGAGGUGGCUGUGCAAUCACUUUGCUAAGACCAGACACAGACCCAUUGAUGGUGGAAGCAGCCAGACAAGAUCUCAGUGCCUGUGGAUUUGAAUGUUGGGAGACCAGUAUUGGGGUGCCUGGAAUAUGUCUUCAUUCGCUGUCAUCUUUGAAAGCAGAAGUUCUGCGUAUCUUUAAUUCGGUUUAAGAUGACAUGGGCUCUGACUGUACCCUACCUUUCUGCCCCUGCAAGUUCAGAGCUUCUUAACUCUUCACAAGAGUGGCCACCUGUGGUGCCAAAUACACUUCAGAGUUCAGCUCACGUUGCCAGUCUGAAAUAUUUUGCCCCCUUUUCCAUGGCUGUGAAAGUGUCGUCGUGAACUGAGAGACUGAACCGAAUUCAGACCUGGCGUAUCUAACGGGGCAGCUCCACUGAAGACAGUGGAAUUAUUGCUCUCACCUACCCAGCUUGGGGUAUCUUCUUCAUUUCGCCUUCACCUGCCUCUCGAGAGCAAUGUGAGGCUGGAGUAGUUCGUGUGCAGAGAGUACCGUGAGAGGUUCUGGUGAAAGGCACCACAGAAUGCAAAGCAUGAGACUGCUCCUGUAUUUCUACUAAUGGUGUUAGAGGCACUGCUGAGAUUAAAAUACAAAUAAAUAAACGACACUUACCUGUGUCACUAAUUGAAUCUCAGAUAAUUAAAGCCGAAGAAAACGAAAUUCUAA